UCCCCGUCGGCAGGCAUGCGAGGUGCAAC
Molecule: non-coding RNA, 29 nt
Filed under: Rattus norvegicus (Norway rat)
Lineage: Eukaryota; Metazoa; Chordata; Mammalia; Rodentia; Muridae
Source: RNAcentral